GGGAUGAACGCUGGCGGCGUGCUUAACACAUGCAAGUCGAACGCCCCGCAAGGGGAGUGGCAGACGGGUGAGUAACGCGUGGGAAUCUACCCAAUUCUUCGGAACAACUGAGGGAAACUUCAGCUAAUACCGGAUGUGCCCUUCGGGGGAAAGAUUUAUCGGAAUUGGAUGAGCCCGCGUUGGAUUAGCUAGUUGGUGGGGUAAAGGCCUACCAAGGCGACGAUCCAUAGCUGGUCUGAGAGGAUGAUCAGCCACACUGGGACUGAGACACGGCCCAGACUCCUACGGGAGGCAACAGUGGGGAAUAUUGGACAAUGGGCGCAAGCCUGAUCCAGCCAUGCCGCGUGAGUGAUGAAGGUCUUAGGAUUGUAAAGCUCUUUCACCGGUGAAGAUAAUGACGGUAACCGGAGAAGAAGCCCGGCUAACUUCGUGCCACAGCCGC
This 442-nucleotide ribosomal RNA is filed under the name uncultured bacterium. Its description in RNAcentral is "SSU rRNA". It matches the Rfam family "Bacterial small subunit ribosomal RNA", at positions 27 to 518 of the family's 1533-position model. The record is from RNAcentral.